RNAcentral lists this ribosomal RNA (547 nucleotides) under Fusarium equiseti. RNAcentral's name for it is "eukaryotic LSU rRNA". The stretch from base 182 to 335 matches the Rfam family "5.8S ribosomal RNA". The record is from RNAcentral. Lineage: Eukaryota; Fungi; Ascomycota; Sordariomycetes; Hypocreales; Nectriaceae.
UUCUGUAGGUGAACCUGCGGAGGGAUCAUUACCGAGUUUACAACUCCCAAACCCCUGUGAAUACCUAUACGUUGAACGCCGGAGGGAUCAGCCCGUGCCCCGUAAAACGGGACGGCCCGCCAGAGGACCCCUAAACUCUGUUUUUAGUGGAACUUCUGAGUAAAACAAACAAAUAAAUCAAAACUUUCAACAACGGAUCUCUUGGUACGGGCAUCGAUGAAGAACGCAGCAAAAUGCGAUAAGUAAUGUGAAUUGCAGAAUUCAGUGAAUCAUCGAAUCUUUGAACGCACAUAGCGCCCGCCAGUAUUCUGGCGGGCAUGCCUGUUCGAGCGUCAUUUCAACCCUCAAGCUUAGCUUGGUGUUGGGACUCGCGGUAACCCGCGUUCCCCAAAUCGAUUGGCGGUCACGUCGAGCUUCCAUAGCGUAGUAAUCAUACACCACGUUACUGGUAAUCGUCGCGGCCACGCCUUAAAACCCCCACUUCUGAAUGUUGACCUCGGAUCAGGUAGGAAUACCCGCUGAACUUAAGCAUAUCAGUAAGCGGAGG